Molecule: ribosomal RNA, 253 nt
Filed under: uncultured bacterium
Lineage: Bacteria
Description: partial 16S ribosomal RNA
Rfam family: Bacterial small subunit ribosomal RNA
Source: RNAcentral
UACGUAGGGUGCGAGCGUUGUCCGGAGUUAUUGGGCGUAAAGCGCGCGCAGGCGGCCUCGCGCGCCCGACGUGAAAGCCCCCGGCUUAACCGGGGAGGGUCGUUGGGGACGGCGGGGCUUGAGGGCGGGAGAGGGUGGUGGAAUUCCCGGUGUAGUGGUGAAAUGCGUAGAGAUCGGGAGGAAGACCAGUGGCGAAGGCGGGUCUCUGGACAGUUCCUGACACUGAGGCACGAAGGCCAGGGGAGCAAACGGG